AACGCUAGCUACAGGCUUAACACAUGCAAGUCGCGGGGCAGCAUGAUUGAAGCUUGCUUCAAUUGAUGGCGACCGGCGCACGGGUGAGUAACACGUAUCCAACCUUCCGUACACUCAGGGAUAGCCUUUCGAAAGAAAGAUUAAUACCUGAUGGUAUCUUAAGCACACAUGUAAUUAAGAUUAAAGAUUUAUCGGUGUACGAUGGGGAUGCGUUCCAUUAGGUAGUAGGCGGGGUAACGGCCCACCUAGCCUACGAUGGAUAGGGGUUCUGAGAGGAAGGUCCCCCACAUUGGAACUGAGACACGGUCCAAACUCCUACGGGAGGCAGCAGUGAGGAAUAUUGGUCAAUGGACGAGAGUCUGAACCAGCCAAGUAGCGUGAAGGAUGAAGGUCCUACGGAUUGUAAACUUCUUUUAUAAGGGAAUAAAACCUCCCACGUGUGGGAGCUUGUAUGUACCUUAUGAAUAAGCAUCGGCUAACUCCGUGCCAGCAGCCGCGGUAAUACGGAGGAUGCGAGCGUUAUCCGGAUUUAUUGGGUUUAAAGGGAGCGCAGACGGGAGAUUAAGUCAGUUGUGAAAGUUUGCGGCUCAACCGUAAAAUUGCAGUUGAUACUGGUUUCCUUGAGUGCAGUUGAGGCAGGCGGAAUUCGUGGUGUAGCGGUGAAAUGCUUAGAUAUCACGAAGAACUCCGAUUG
Molecule: ribosomal RNA, 694 nt
Filed under: uncultured bacterium
Lineage: Bacteria
Description: bacterial SSU rRNA
Rfam family: Bacterial small subunit ribosomal RNA
Source: RNAcentral